RNAcentral lists this transfer RNA (71 nucleotides) under Candidatus Pacearchaeota archaeon. Its description in RNAcentral is "tRNA-Gly". It matches the Rfam family "tRNA". Rfam says of the family: Transfer RNA (tRNA) molecules are approximately 80 nucleotides in length. Their secondary structure includes four short double-helical elements and three loops (D, anti-codon, and T loops). The record is from RNAcentral. Lineage: Archaea; Nanobdellati.
GCGCUCGUAGUUAAAUGGUAGAACAUCUGGUUGCCAAUCAGAGGACACGGGUUCGAUUCCCGUCGAGCGCA